GAUGAACGCUAGCUACAGGCUUAACACAUGCAAGUCGAGGGGAAGCGGCAUUAAGUGCUUGCACUUUUUGGACGUCGACCGGCGCAUGGGUGAGUAACGCGUAUCCAACCUUCCCAUGACUAAGGGAUAACCUGCCGAAAGGCAGACUAAUACCUUAUGGUCUUCACUGACGGCAUCAGAUGUGAAGUAAAGAUUUAUCGGUUAUGGAUGGGGAUGCGUCUGAUUAGCUUGUUGGCGGGGUAACGGCCCACCAAGGCAACGAUCAGUAGGGGUUCUGAGAGGAAGGUCCCCCACAUUGGAACUGAGACACGGUCCAAACUCCUACGGGAGGCAGCAGUGAGGAAUAUUGGUCAAUGGGCGAGAGCCUGAACCAGCCAAGUAGCGUGCAGGAUGACGGCCCUAUGGGUUGUAAACUGCUUUUGUAUGGGGAUAAAGUCAAUCACGUGUGAUUGUUUGCAGGUACCAUACGAAUAAGGACCGGCUAAUUCCGUG
RNAcentral lists this ribosomal RNA (492 nucleotides) under uncultured bacterium. Its description in RNAcentral is "partial 16S ribosomal RNA". It matches the Rfam family "Bacterial small subunit ribosomal RNA", at positions 28 to 507 of the family's 1533-position model. The record is from RNAcentral.